UUUUCGGAUCGUAAAGAAGUGGUUCUCCAUGAUCAGUCUUGGUCAUAAAAGAAAGAAAAAUAUCAGUAAAUCACAAUUUCCUUACAACGGCGCCAAAAUUUGAUGGGUGUUGAAUCUACCAAAAAUAUAUUACUAAUUAACCAAUAAAAUAAUAUUGUAAUAGCAGUAAUGCACAGUGAAUUAGAAACCAAUUUUCUUCCUCGACCAAUUUUAUAUAUU
This 219-nucleotide long non-coding RNA is filed under the name Carica papaya (papaya). RNAcentral describes it as "long non-coding RNA (CPAP_LNC008110)". Lineage: Eukaryota; Viridiplantae; Streptophyta; Magnoliopsida; Brassicales; Caricaceae. The record is from RNAcentral.